UGCCAGCAGCCGCGGUAAGACGUAGGGGGCGAGCGUUGUCCGGAAUUAUUGGGCGUAAAGAGCUCGUAGGCGGUUCCGUAAGUCAGAUGUGAAAGCUCAGGGCUCGACCCUGAGAAGCCAUCUGAUACUGCGGUGACUUGAAUCCAGUAGGGGAGUGUGGAAUUCCUGGUGUAGCGGUGAAAUGCGCAGAUAUCAGGAGGAACACCUAUGGCGAAGGCAGCACUCUGGGCUGGUAUUGACGCUGAGGAGCGAAAGCAUGGGUAGCAAACAGGAUUAGAUA
This 280-nucleotide ribosomal RNA is filed under the name uncultured bacterium. RNAcentral describes it as "partial 16S ribosomal RNA". It matches the Rfam family "Bacterial small subunit ribosomal RNA", at positions 506 to 784 of the family's 1533-position model. The record is from RNAcentral.